RNAcentral lists this ribosomal RNA (1448 nucleotides) under uncultured organism. RNAcentral's name for it is "SSU rRNA". It matches the Rfam family "Bacterial small subunit ribosomal RNA". The record is from RNAcentral.
GGCUCAGGAUGAACGCUAGCUACAGGCUUAACACAUGCAAGUCGAGGGGCAUCAGGAAGAAAGCUUGCUUUCUUUGCUGGCGACCGGCGCACGGGUGAGUAACACGUAUCCAACCUGCCCUUUACUCGGGGAUAGCCUUUCGAAAGAAAGAUUAAUACCCGAUGGCAUAAUGAUUCCGCAUGGUUUCAUUAUUAAAGGAUUCCGGUAAAGGAUGGGGAUGCGUUCCAUUAGGUUGUUGGUGAGGUAACGGCUCACCAAGCCUUCGAUGGAUAGGGGUUCUGAGAGGAAGGUCCCCCACAUUGGAACUGAGACACGGUCCAAACUCCUACGGGAGGCAGCAGUGAGGAAUAUUGGUCAAUGGGCGCUAGCCUGAACCAGCCAAGUAGCGUGAAGGAUGAAGGCUCUAUGGGUCGUAAACUUCUUUUAUAUAAGAAUAAAGUGCAGUAUGUAUACUGUUUUGUAUGUAUUAUAUGAAUAAGGAUCGGCUAACUCCGUGCCAGCAGCCGCGGUAAUACGGAGGAUCCGAGCGUUAUCCGGAUUUAUUGGGUUUAAAGGGAGCGUAGGUGGACUGGUAAGUCAGUUGUGAAAGUUUGCGGCUCAACCGUAAAAUUGCAGUUGAUACUGUCAGUCUUGAGUACAGUAGAGGUGGGCGGAAUUCGUGGUGUAGCGGUGAAAUGCUUAGAUAUCACGAAGAACUCCGAUUGCGAAGGCAGCUCACUGGACUGCAACUGACACUGAUGCUCGAAAGUGUGGGUAUCAAACAGGAUUAGAUACCCUGGUAGUCCACACAGUAAACGAUGAAUACUCGCUGUUUGCGAUAUACAGUAAGCGGCCAAGCGAAAGCAUUAAGUAUUCCACCUGGGGAGUACGCCGGCAACGGUGAAACUCAAAGGAAUUGACGGGGGCCCGCACAAGCGGAGGAACAUGUGGUUUAAUUCGAUGAUACGCGAGGAACCUUACCCGGGCUUAAAUUGCAGUGGAAUGAUGUGGAAACAUGUCAGUGAGCAAUCACCGCUGUGAAGGUGCUGCAUGGUUGUCGUCAGCUCGUGCCGUGAGGUGUCGGCUUAAGUGCCAUAACGAGCGCAACCCUUAUCUUUAGUUACUAACAGGUCAUGCUGAGGACUCUAGAGAGACUGCCGUCGUAAGAUGUGAGGAAGGUGGGGAUGACGUCAAAUCAGCACGGCCCUUACGUCCGGGGCUGCACACGUGUUACAAUGGGGGGUACAGAAGGCAGCUAGCGGGUGACCGUAUGCUAAUCCCAAAAGCCUCUCUCAGUUCGGAUCGAAGUCUGCAACCCGACUUCGUGAAGCUGGAUUCGCUAGUAAUCGCGCAUCAGCCACGGCGCGGUGAAUACGUUCCCGGGCCUUGUACACACCGCCCGUCAAGCCAUGGGAGCCGGGGGUACCUGAAGUACGUAACCGCAAGGAUCGUCCUAGGGUAAAACUGGU